This 269-nucleotide ribosomal RNA is filed under the name uncultured bacterium. RNAcentral's name for it is "partial 16S ribosomal RNA". It matches the Rfam family "Bacterial small subunit ribosomal RNA", at positions 8 to 270 of the family's 1533-position model. The record is from RNAcentral.
AGAGUUUGAUCCUGGCUCAGGACGAACGCUGGCGGCGUGCCUAACACAUGCAAGUCGAGCGGAGACAGUGAGUAGCUUGCUAUGAGCUGUUUUAGCGGCGGACGGGUGAGUAACGCGUGAGCAACCUUUCCCAGACAGGGGAAUAACACACCGAAAGGUGUACUAAUACCGUAUAAGACCACGGGAUCACAUGGUUCUGGGGUAAAAGAUUUAUCGGUUUGGGGUGGGCUCGCGUCCGAUUAGGUAGUUGGUGAGGUAACGGCCCACCG